Molecule: ribosomal RNA, 497 nt
Filed under: uncultured bacterium
Lineage: Bacteria
Description: partial 16S ribosomal RNA
Rfam family: Bacterial small subunit ribosomal RNA
Source: RNAcentral
GAUGAACGCUGGCGGCGUGCCUAAUACAUGCAAGUCGAGCGAACGGACGAGAGGCUUGCUUCUCUGAUGUUAGCGGCGGACGGGUGUGUAACACGUGGAUAACCUACCUAUAAGACUGGGAUAACUUCGGGAAACCGGAGCUAAUACCGGAUAAUAUUUUGAACCGCAUGGUUCAAAAGUGAAAGACGGUCUUGCUGUCACUUAUAGAUGGAUCCGCGCUGCAUUAGCUAGUUGGUAAGGUAACGGCUUACCAAGGCAACGAUGCAUAGCCGACCUGAGAGGGUGAUCGGCCACACUGGAGCUGAGACGCGGACCAGGCUCCUACGGUAGGCAGCAGUAGGGAAUCUUCCGCAAUGGGCGAAAGCCUGACGGAGCAACGCCGCGUGAGUGAUGAAGGUCUUCGGAUCGUAAAACUCUGUUAUUAGGGAAGAACAUAUGUGUAAGUAACUGUGCACAUCUUGACGGUACCUAAUCAGAAAGCCACGGCUAACUACGUG